This 497-nucleotide ribosomal RNA is filed under the name uncultured bacterium. RNAcentral describes it as "partial 16S ribosomal RNA". It matches the Rfam family "Bacterial small subunit ribosomal RNA", at positions 28 to 507 of the family's 1533-position model. The record is from RNAcentral.
GAUGAACGCUGGCGGCGUGCCUAAUACAUGCAAGUCGAGCGAACGGACGAGAAGCUUGCUUUUCUGAUGUUAGCGGCGGACGGGUGAGUAACACGUGGAUAACCUACCUAUAAGACUGGGAUAACUUCGGGAAACCGGAGCUAAUACCGGAUAAUAUUUUGAACCGCAUGGUUCAAAAGUGAAAGACGGUCUUGCUGUCACUUAUAGAUGGAUCCGCGCUGCAUUAGCUAGUUGGUAAGGUAACGGCUUACCAAGGCAACGAUGCAUAGCCGACCUGAGAGGGUGAUCGGCCACACCGGAACUGAGACACGGUCCAGACUCCUACGGGAGGCAGCAGUAGGGAAUCUUCCGCAAUGGGCGAAAGCCUGACGGAGCAACGCCGCGUGAGUGAUGAAGGUCUUCGGAUCGUAAAACUCUGUUAUUAGGGAAGAACAUAUGUGUAAGUAACUGUGCACAUCUUGACGGUACCUAAUCAGAAAGCCACGGCUAACUACGUG